This 6006-nucleotide long non-coding RNA is filed under the name Sus scrofa (pig). RNAcentral describes it as "lncRNA (ENSSSCG00005031084.1)". Lineage: Eukaryota; Metazoa; Chordata; Mammalia; Artiodactyla; Suidae. The record is from RNAcentral.
UUUUUUUCUUGCACACACAUACACUCUACUUCAAGGUGAAAGCGUUCAUCAAAAAUUCAUUGGAAGUUUAUGUGUAAAAUAGGGGAUUUUGCCUUACUCUGCACAAAGACUCAACGAAUGAAGAUUAUUGUUACACAAGGGAGGAUUCAGAGCAUGUCAAGCCAAAUAUGCAUUUUUAACUAGUUUGAGUCUUAAAUUUUGAUCUUUAAACUACUAGGACAGAAAAGCAACUAGUCUAGAAUAAUGUACAGACCUCUCUAUAUGACUUCUAUACUUGAAGGUCUAAAGACCAGGCUCAAACAAAACUCUUGAUUGACUUUUUUAAGCCACCUUCUUUCCUGGUGAUCUUCCUCCCUGGAAAUGGCACCCCUCUGUCAGUCUGGCCCAUCCUCAGUCCCUUUAUCUCCCUCCUGUCAUGUUCUUCAAGAGCAAUUCCUGUUGAAUUAGCGCCAAAGCCUUUCCCACCCCACCUCACUGCUCCCCCCAUAUCCUCCGCUGCCUGAUGCCAGACACCAGUGUUUCUUCCCCAACAGCCACCACAGCUCCUUGCCUGGUGCUCCGGGUUCUGGUCUUGGUCUCUUCAAGAAGCCCGGAUGAUCUUAUUUUAAAAGAGCAUCACAUCAUGUUAUGAGUCUGAUGAACUCUAUCUAAUGGUUUCCCAACAUAGUUCAGUAUCCAGCCCUCACCCUGCCUGCUGGGCAACAUCUCCGUCUACCUCUCUCCCCGUUGAUUCCUCAGCUCCUAACAAGUGGCUUCAUUUCUGAUCUUCAAAGGGCCCAGGUCACUCCUGCCCUAGAACUUUUCUAUCUGGACCUUCCCUUCUCUGAAAAGCUCUCUUUGUACAUCUUGACAUGGCCACAUCCUGGACACAGAUUUCGGCAGGCUGUCAUCCCUUCCCUCUCUAAAGACACUCCCUGCCCCGGUCUCUUUACUUCACCGUGUUUUUGUUUGUUUUUGUCUUUUUCUUUAGGGCCAUACCCACAGCAUACGGACGUUCCCGGGCUAGGGCUCGAAUCAGAGCCACAGCUGCUGUCCUACGUCACAGCUCACAACUACGCCGGAUCCUUAACCCACUGAGUGAAGCCAGGGAUCACACCCACGUCCUCAUGGAUACUAGUCGGAUUCAUUAGCACUGAGCCACAAUGGACACUCCUACCAUGUUUUUUUUUAACAUAUACUCCCCGAUUUUAAUUUUUUUUUAAUUUAGCUAUUACAUGCAUACAUUAAAAUGCACAAAAUGUAGAUAUUACAUAUGUAUAAUCAAAUGCAUAAAUGCCUUAAUUAUAAAACUUGAAUUUUUACAUGUGCAGCCAGGGUCACCACCUCACGGAUCAAGAGACAGGACAGUUCCAAAUCCCCAAAAGGUUCUAUUAUGUUCCUUCCCACCAUUACCCCCUCCAUCCCGUUGUCUUCACUGUGUUCUAGCAUCAUAACACAUGUGCACACCUGAUGCUUGGGGAUUUAUGUAUUCGUGUGAAAUUCCCACUGGACCAAAGCCCUACCGGAGUGGGUACCUUCCGUGCUGUGUUCAUGGCUACACUCCCUGUGCUCAGCACAGAGUAGGUGCUCAAUAAUGAUUUUCUAAAGGAGUGAGUUAACAGGGCCUGUCAACCAAAAUAUUAAAAUCAGCUGGGUUGAUGCGACUCAGCUACUGAAGUCGACGUUGUUAAAAUUCAAAGGAAAUCCAAAAACCGAACUGCUGCUCUUAACCCGGUAUUCCGGCUUUUAGUGGACUCCCCAGUACCCCCACAACUCCACACUGCAUGUGUCACCUCAGCAGAAGGCUUCCCUUGGGAACUAGCAGCCCUUUUUAGCUAAACAAGCUAAGAAGGGACUAAGUUGCUCAUCAAUAGUAGGUGUGGGGGGGCGGGGGAUUAGAGAGUAAUAAACAUAUUCCUCUGUUAACAUUUUUGCCUCCUUUUUCUCUUUCUAUUGGCAAAUGAUAAGGGUUGUUACGAGAUUAUUGAACCACUUUAACCAUCUACAGUUGAUGGGCAAAGCUUUUCUCUAAUUAAGCAAAUCCUAGAGAUACAAGUCAGCUGAGGGAAGAUUUUCAUUUCUAACUAUAGGCAGCCACGACGGAGAUAAGCAUUUUCCUACCCUUUUUUUGAUCCCUGCCCACGGAUGCACCACGGGCGGUCAACCACCCCAUCUCCGUGGAACCCCACGCACACGCACAAACCCCAGGCGUGGAGGCUUUUAAGCAGAACAAAUAGAAGGAGAGCACAGGAGAGGCUUGACUCAGAGCCUGACAAGGUAGAAUGAUCAAAAUGUGUUAGUACUUCCAUUGAACGGGAGACAUGCGAGUUAAGCAGCAAUUAAGUUAAUAAAUGGAUUCUUAUUUUCUUCACUGAAUCCAAAGAUCUCAGGCUAAUUGUCUUCGUGGUAACAUACCGCUUAUUCAUGAUUUUAAGCAGUGUUUUUAAUAAAGCAAAGAAGGCGGUGUGCUUUAAUAAGAGGAGUAUCAUUAGCUCAGAAGCCAGAGAGACCUGGGUUCAGAUCUCAGUUUAAUCCCUUGUAACCUGCUUCGCUGGAAGUCAGCCAAAUUCCUUUCGCUUCUGUUUUCUCCUCAAGUAAACAGGGUGAGAAACUCAGCAGGGUGCUGCAAGUACUAAAAUGGGAUGUUUGAAGGUGUACAGCACUUUGCCCAAUGGGGGGCCUUAAGUUCCUGACCUUCUGUCGCCAUCGUGAUUACUGUUAAGCCCCGAACCGACCUUCAUCAGCAAUGAUAGCCGUCUAACCAUUUUUUUCAGUGGGUUAGGUUCACUUUCAAGUGGUCUGGUCUCUCUUUAAAAUACAAGGUCCUAAACACAGACCAUGAGAGCCGGGAGCUUCUGAUCAAAACUAUCUUUCCCACUUCGAUCCUCGUAUCAAAUCCCUCGUGCUCAGCACUCCAAACUCAACAUCUUUCUCUGCACUCCUUGACCACGUCGACGCUGCCCUCGUCUUUCCGUGCCUGGUUCCUCCCCAUCCUGCAGGCCACAGGUGGCCGGCACGUAGGACACUUCAUGGCCUCUCUAUAAAACUGUUCUCCCAUCCAUCACUCUCUCCCAUGACCCUCUUUAUUGCCAGCGGGACACUUAGGUACAACCUGCAACAACCCGCCUUUCCUGUCUGUUUGCCUGUUUAACAUCUGUCUGCUCACCAGGGUCUGUGCUCCUCCAAGGCAGGGGUCUUAGCUGGUUCUCAGCCACCUGCUCUGAACAGGCUCUGAAUCCGCGCUUCUUUUAAGAAACAUGCAAGUGAGUGAACCUGUUUGGUAUGGCAGUGGUUUUGAAUGGGUUUCCCCCGAAAGGUCAACAAGACAAGGAUUUGGGUGCUAGUGAUUUGCUUGGGAGGUAACUUCAGGAAAACCCAGAGAGGAAGCAGGAGAGAGGGGCAGGGAAGGGACAGUAACUGGGAGAGGGGGAUUUUCACACUUGUUACCACGGAGGGCGACCAGGGCCCUCACUGGGGACACUGGGAGAAGAGAAGGGCCACGUGGCUGUCCACACAUCCCACCCCCAUCCCAGGAGAGGUAUCCUCGCUGUCCCCACCAGUUCACAGGCCUUAUUGUUCGAGGACUAAUAGUCCUCAACAUUCCCAGCUCACUUCCAGACAGAGUGGGUUCCAGAGGCCAAAAAAAGCACCCAAAAAAUCACAGGGGCUGGCAGGUGGAAAGCAGGCAGGGUAUGCCUCAAAGUGCCUAAGUUCCAAGGACACAGGGGACAAAAUGGCUUUUAUUGUUGAAACCAAAUGCAGGGCACACAGGCCAGCCUCAAAAAUCAGGGCAGCACCCCAAAAUCUAUGAGCCAGGCCUGAAAAACACACACACAACACUCAUAUAUGAUACACAGAGGGGGAUAUGCAUGCUACACCCACAGCAGCUUUCUGCUCUCCUCCCAAAUGACAUUUUGAGCAAAGCCUGACUGCAGAAAAUAAAGCCAACUGAGAGACAAGGCAACGCGUCGGUAAAUACGACUUCUGGAAUAUCUCCGCCGACACACAGGGACACCCCAGCAGUGGUCUGGGGAAUGGCUCCGAUUCCCUGACAUGAUGCUGAAAUAACCAAUAUCACAUUAACAAGGUUUAUGCUGCAAAUUACUCCGUACAAAGUGCUAUUAAAAGUCAGUGAUGAGUGAAAAUAGCCUUCACAAUUUCAUGUCAACAUUCAAACCCUAGAUUGAGUUUCUCCUCUCCAGUUUCAUUCAAAUAAUUAUCUUCCCUUGGAUUAAAUGAUAUUUUUUAAUUUGAUCGCGUCCCACAGCCGUAUGUUUAUUUUAUUUGGGGGAAGGAGAAAGGUAUCUUAAUUUCUCAUAAUAAGAGCUCUGGUGGAAGCUGGAACUUUAGUGACACGCCAGUAAUCAAAACUGAAUUCUAUACAAGAAGUAAAUUAUUCUGCCUUCCCAAUUAAUUUGCAAAUAGCCACAAGGCUAAUAAAAUGCAGGCACAAUUCUGAUUUCCCUUUUGCAAAAGCCUCGCUCCUCAAUAAUCAGGAGAAGAAAACUCACCGAGGUGUAGGUCACGCGCCAGAAAGCCGGCGUUUAGCCCCAGAAGCGCAGCGCAAGUGGCAGCGCCUGAAGCAGGAGGCGGAGGAAAACUCCCUCUGAUUCUUGUCUUCAGGUGNNNNNNNNNNNNNNNNNNNNNNNNNNNNNNNNNNNNNNNNNNNNNNNNNNNNNNNNNNNNNNNNNAUCCAGCCCCAGAAACUGGAAUGAAGAGAGGACCUCCCUGAGGACAUGACUCUGCAGGACGGCAAGCCCUCCAACGCCUUCUGAGGAAGGCCUCGAGGCUGACUCCACCUCCAGUUCAGUUCUUUGACAGCUGCAGGGCAGAUGAUCCUUCGAAAUCUACUUCUGUGGACGAGUGGGUCUCUUACUGCAUUGGGUGGCUUCCAGGCAAGAACCUGGCGGCUGUGUAUUAGCUUCCUGUGGCUGCUGGAACAAAAGACCACAGACUUAGUAUCGUGGAGCAACACGCAUUGACUCUCCUGCAGUCCAGCUCAGAGAAGACACCUCCUUGUCUUGGUCAGCUUCUAGAGGCCACCUGCACUCCCUGGCUCACGGCCUCACACUCCAACCAACUGCUGCCCCCAGUCUGCCGACUCUUUGAUAUUCCUGCUUCCCUCUUACAAGUACCCUUGUCCUUAAACCCAUCUGGAUGGUCCAGAACCAGCUUCUCUAACCAUGUCUGCAAAGUCCCUCUGCCAUGGAAGGUGACAUAUUCACAGCUCUGAAAAUUAGGAGGAGGACACCUCUGUGGGUCAUUGCCUGUCCAACGCCGUGGUCAUCACCACUGCAUCUCAGGCACCUAGCCUAGAAAAGCCACCUCAGGUAACUGGAAUUGCAGUGAAGUGAAAUGGCAAUAAAAUGAGGGAAUUCCGAGCACAAGCACAAGCUCUGAGCGGGAAAUCAGGCUGUGAAUCCUGGCUCUGCUCUGUUAGCCUGACCAGCUUCUUGAACGUGUCUAAACCUCGGUUUCUUCUCCUGCACAACAACACUUAAGAGCACCCGCCUUGAGUCAUUGAGAUAAAUUAGAUAAACCUGUUGAGUUUGGCCAGUGCUACACUCAGAACUCAAUAAGCUUUCACUGAGGCACUAAUGAAAUGAGGGGUCAGUAAAGGUUUUCUGUAAGGAGCCAGGCAGUACGUACUUUCAGCUUCAAAGGCCACGUGGUCUCUGUUGCAAAUAUUCAAUUCUGCAGUUAUAGUGCAGAAACAGUUGUAGACAAUGCAUAAAUGAAUGAGUGAGGCUAUGUCCAAAUAAAAGUUUAGGAAUUCAAUUUUUUUUUUUUUUUUUUUUUUGUCUUUUUCAAGCAGCAUCUGCAGCAUAUGCAAGUUUCCAGGCUAGGGGUCAAAUCAGAGCUGUAGCUGCCAGCCUACACCACAGCCACAUCCACGCGGGAUCUUUAACCCACAGCCCACUGAGCAAGGACAGGGAUUGUACCCGAAUCCUCACGGAUACUAGUCGGGUUCGUCACCACUGAGCCACAACGGAAACGCCUCACAUUUUAAUUUCAUGUCCUGACAUA